Molecule: ribosomal RNA, 460 nt
Filed under: uncultured bacterium
Lineage: Bacteria
Description: partial 16S ribosomal RNA
Rfam family: Bacterial small subunit ribosomal RNA
Source: RNAcentral
CCUACGGGGGGCAGCAGUGAGGAAUAUUGGUCAAUGGACGAGAGUCUGAACCAGCCACGUAGCGUGAAGGAUGACUGCCCUAUGGGUUGUAACCUUCUUUUAUAUGGGAAUAAAAUGUUCCACGUGUGGGAUUUUGUAUGUACCAUAUGAAUAAGGAUCGGCCAACUCCGUGCCAGCAGCCGCGGUAAUACGGAGGAUCCGAGCGUUAUCCGGAUUUAUUGGGUUUAAAGGGAGCGUAGGUGGAUUGUUAAGUCAGUUGUGAAAGUUUGCGGCUCAACCGUAAAAUUGCAGUUGAAACUGGCAGGCUUGAGUACAGUAGAGGUGGGCGGAAUUCGUGGUGUAGCGGUGAAAUGCUUAGAUAUCACGAAGAACUCCGAUUGCGAAGGCAGCUCACUGGACUGCAACUGACACUGAGGCUCGAAAGUGUGGGUAUCAAACAGGAUUAGAUACCCCAGUAGUC